AGCGAACGCUGGCGGCAGGCCUAACACAUGCAAGUCGAACGAACCUUUCGGGGUUAGUGGCGGACGGGUGAGUAACACGUGGGAACGUGCCUUUAGGUUCGGAAUAACUCAGGGAAACUUGUGCUAAUACCGAAUGUGCCCUUCGGGGGAAAGAUUUAUCGCCUUUAGAGCGGCCCGCGUCUGAUUAGCUAGUUGGUUGAGGUAAUGGCUCACCAAGGCGACGAUCAGUAGCUGGUCUGAGAGGAUGAUCAGCCACAUUGGGACUGAGACACGGCCCAAACUCCUACGGGAGGCAGCAGUGGGGAAGCUUGCGCAAUGGGCGAAAGCCUGACGCAGCCAUGCCGCGUGAAUGAUGAAGGUCUUAGGAUUGUAAAAUUCUUUCACCGGGGACGAUAAUGACGGUACCCGGAGAAGAAGCCCCGGCUAACUUCGUG
This 434-nucleotide ribosomal RNA is filed under the name uncultured bacterium. Its description in RNAcentral is "partial 16S ribosomal RNA". It matches the Rfam family "Bacterial small subunit ribosomal RNA", at positions 29 to 507 of the family's 1533-position model. The record is from RNAcentral.